RNAcentral lists this ribosomal RNA (459 nucleotides) under uncultured bacterium. RNAcentral describes it as "partial 16S ribosomal RNA". It matches the Rfam family "Bacterial small subunit ribosomal RNA", at positions 338 to 795 of the family's 1533-position model. The record is from RNAcentral.
CCUACGGGAGGCAGCAGUGAGGAAUAUUGGUCAAUGGGCGCGAGCCUGAACCAGCCAAGUCGCGUGAGGGAAGACGGUCCUAUGGAUUGUAAACCUCUUUUGUCGGGGAGCAAAAGACGCCACGUGUGGCGUUCCGAGAGUACCCGAAGAAAAAGCAUCGGCUAACUCCGUGCCAGCAGCCGCGGUAAUACGGAGGAUGCGAGCGUUAUCCGGAUUUAUUGGGUUUAAAGGGUGCGCAGGCGGAAGAUCAAGUCAGCGGUAAAAUUGAGAGGCUCAACCCCUUCGAGCCGUUGAAACUGGUUGUCUUGAGUGAGCGAGAAGUAUGCGGAAUGCGUGGUGUAGCGGUGAAAUGCAUAGAUAUCACGCAGAACUCCGAGUGCGAAGGCAGCAUACCGGCGCUCAACUGACGCUCAUGCACGAAAGUGUGGGUAUCGAACAGGAUUAGAUACCCUUGUAGUC